UCUUACGGGGGGCAGCAGUAGGGAAUCUUCCACAGUGGACGAAAGUCUGAUGGAGCAACGCCGCGUGAACGAGGAAGGUCUUCGGAUCGUAAAGUUCUGUUGAAGGGGAAAAAGAGCGGAGAGAGGAAAUGGUCUCCGAUUGAUAUUACCCUUCGAGGAAGUCACGGCUAACUACGUGCCAGCAGCCGCGGUAAUACGUAGGUGGCGAGCGUUAUCCGGAAUGAUUGGGCGUAAAGGGUGCGUAGGCGGCCUGCUAAGUCUGGAGUGAAAGGUACCGGCUCAACCGGUACAGGCUCUGGAAACCG
This 305-nucleotide ribosomal RNA is filed under the name uncultured bacterium. RNAcentral's name for it is "bacterial SSU rRNA". It matches the Rfam family "Bacterial small subunit ribosomal RNA", at positions 337 to 635 of the family's 1533-position model. The record is from RNAcentral.